CAAAAUGGACCCAAAUCCUCCCCAAUCCUCCCCAAAUCACCCCUCGAUGUCCCCAAAUGUCCCCCCAGGAGCACUUUGGGGUUCCCCCCCGUGUCCUGGUGUCCUGUGCCGGGAUCACCCGCGACCGGAUGUUCCUGGAGAUGGGAGAGCGGGAAUUCCGGGAGGUGCUGGGGGUGAACCUGGAGGGGACGUUCCUGGUGACACAGGAGGUGACAAAGGCCCUGGUGACAUCGGGGGACCCCGGGGGGGCCUCCCUGGUCCUCGUGGGCAGCGUGGUGGCCAAGGUGGGGAAUUUGGGCCAAACCAACUACGCGGCCUCCAAGGGGGGGGUGGAGGGGCUGACCCGGAGCGUGGCCAAGGAGGUGGCCAGGUGGGGACAUUGGGGGACAUCUGGGGACAUUUGGGGACAUUUGGGGACAUUUGGGGACAUUUGGGAGGGGACAAGGGAAAAUGGGGGGGAAAGGGAGAAAAUUGGGGGAUUUGGGGGGAAUUCGGGGGAAAAUUGGGG
This 508-nucleotide long non-coding RNA is filed under the name Manacus vitellinus (golden-collared manakin). Its description in RNAcentral is "lncRNA (ENSMVIG00005004247.1)". Lineage: Eukaryota; Metazoa; Chordata; Aves; Passeriformes; Pipridae. The record is from RNAcentral.